CGGGCGACCGGCGCACGGGUGAGUAACACGUAUGGAACCUGCCCGCAGCAGGGGGAUAAGCGGAAGAAAUUCCGUCUAAUACCGCGUAACAACGUUGGGAGGCAUCUCCCGAUGUUUAAAGAUUUAUCGGCUGCGGAUGGCCAUGCGGCGCAUUAGCUAGUCGGCGGGGUAACGGCCCACCGAGGCGACGAUGCGUAGGGGUUCUGAGAGGAAGGUCCCCCACACUGGUACUGAGACACGGACCAGACUCCUACGGAAGGCAGCAG
RNAcentral lists this ribosomal RNA (266 nucleotides) under uncultured bacterium. RNAcentral describes it as "partial 16S ribosomal RNA". It matches the Rfam family "Bacterial small subunit ribosomal RNA", at positions 88 to 354 of the family's 1533-position model. The record is from RNAcentral.